RNAcentral lists this microRNA precursor (84 nucleotides) under Mus caroli (Ryukyu mouse). Its description in RNAcentral is "microRNA 1934 (MGP_CAROLIEiJ_G0007121.1)". The record is from RNAcentral. Lineage: Eukaryota; Metazoa; Chordata; Mammalia; Rodentia; Muridae.
CUGGGCCUUCUUCCUGGUCCCCUGCUUCGUCCUCUGUCCAGAUGUUAAGAGGAUGACGGUGGGGGCUGGUGAGAUGGCUCAGUG